Girardinichthys multiradiatus is the source of this 336-nucleotide long non-coding RNA. RefSeq lists it as uncharacterized. The transcript is spliced from 3 exons. Lineage: Eukaryota; Metazoa; Chordata; Actinopteri; Cyprinodontiformes; Goodeidae. The record is from RefSeq and is a predicted model, not a curated record.
CAGCGUGGUAACUGACCCUGUUAUACAGAACUAUGCAGUGCUCCUAAGCUUGCUUUUUUUGAUUUGUUUUUGUCCUGCUGUGCAGACCUGGUCAUUUUUGUGACUACAUUCCAAGGUUCCAAGGUUCCUGUUCUCCGUGUCAUGCUCAGAUCAUACAGUGGAAACAGGAACUCGACAGCGUUCUGUUCCUCCUUCUCUGCCAAACUCAGUCACCGUGGGAAAGACCUUUCUCUCCAACAAGCCCUCAUCAACCACCAUGACGAUCCUGUUCCCCUUGGCAGUUCGCGUCCAGGUUCAAACCCACAUGCUUGCACAUUCAAUAAAUUGUUAAAACGC